ACCAGUGUUUAAUAAACCAGAAAGGCAGGAGAACCAGAAGAAUGGAGUACCCCCCAAGUCAAGGAAGGAGAACAUUUAAAGGUCAUGGUUGCUUUCUUCUUUUUGGAACACCCUGAUGUCAAAUGAUGCUUCAGGAAUCACAAAACCAAAGCAAGAAGGGAGGAUGUCCUCGUAUUGCUGCUGUAGAGCCGCAGCCUCCUGAACACAGGAAUCUCUGUUCACAACCUUCCUGGCACUGGCUGAGAAGGCAGUGAUCGCGCUGCUCAGUGACUCCAGGGCCUGGCAGAGAUCCUAAGAAGAGUGCGAGAAGAAUGCAGUGAAAGCACAGGAGCCAACGAGGCCUGCAUUUUUCUUUGACACCGAUCAUCGCAAAAUAUUUUCCCUCAGUCAUAAUAAACAGGAAUAGCACUAAGAAUGGGUACAAAUAUACAGUUUGAUAGAAG
RNAcentral lists this long non-coding RNA (443 nucleotides) under Homo sapiens (human). RNAcentral describes it as "HSALNT0115287". The record is from RNAcentral. Lineage: Eukaryota; Metazoa; Chordata; Mammalia; Primates; Hominidae.